UACAGAGGUCCCGAGCGUUGUUCGGAUUCACUGGGCGUAAAGGGCUCGUAGGCGGCCAACUAAGUCAGACGUGAAAUCCCUCGGCUUAACCGGGGAACUGCGUCUGAUACUGGAUGGCUUGAAUCCGGGAGAGGGAUGCGGAAUUCCAGGUGUAGCGGUGAAAUGCGUAGAUAUCUGGAGGAACACCGGUGGCGAAGGCGGCAUCCUGGACCGGCAUUGACGCUGAGGAGCGAAAGCCAGGGGAGCAAACGGG
Molecule: ribosomal RNA, 253 nt
Filed under: uncultured bacterium
Lineage: Bacteria
Description: partial 16S ribosomal RNA
Rfam family: Bacterial small subunit ribosomal RNA
Source: RNAcentral